UACGUAGGGCGCAAGCGUUAUCCGGAAUUAUUGGGCGUAAAGAGCUCGUAGGCGGUUUGUCGCGUCUGCCGUGAAAGUCCGGGGCUCAACUCCGGAUCUGCGGUGGGUACGGGCAGACUAGAGUGAUGUAGGGGAGACUGGAAUUCCUGGUGUAGCGGUGAAAUGCGCAGAUAUCAGGAGGAAUACCGAUGGCGAAGGCAGGUCUCUGGGCCGAUACUGACGCUGAGGAGCGAAAGCGUGGGGAGCGAACAGG
RNAcentral lists this ribosomal RNA (253 nucleotides) under uncultured bacterium. RNAcentral describes it as "partial 16S ribosomal RNA". It matches the Rfam family "Bacterial small subunit ribosomal RNA", at positions 524 to 776 of the family's 1533-position model. The record is from RNAcentral.